Molecule: ribosomal RNA, 253 nt
Filed under: uncultured bacterium
Lineage: Bacteria
Description: partial 16S ribosomal RNA
Rfam family: Bacterial small subunit ribosomal RNA
Source: RNAcentral
UACGUAGGGUGCGAGCGUUGUCCGGAAUUAUUGGGCGUAAAGAGCUUGUAGGCGGUCUGUCGCGUCUGCUGUGAAAAUCCGGGGCUCAACCCCGGACUUGCAGUGGGUACGGGCAGACUAGAGUGUGGUAGGGGAGACUGGAAUUCCUGGUGUAGCGGUGAAAUGCGCAGAUAUCAGGAGGAACACCGAUGGCGAAGGCAGGUCUCUGGGCCUUACCUGACGCUGAGGCGCGAAAGCCAGGGGAGCAAACGGG